UGAGGAGGAAUCCAGUGGUGU
Molecule: non-coding RNA, 21 nt
Filed under: Rattus norvegicus (Norway rat)
Lineage: Eukaryota; Metazoa; Chordata; Mammalia; Rodentia; Muridae
Source: RNAcentral